CAGCAGCCGCGGUAACACCGAGGGUGCGAGCGUUAAUCGGAUUUACUGGGCGUAAAGCGUGCGUAGGCGGCUUUUUAAGUCGGAUGUGAAAUCCCUGAGCUUAACUUAGGAAUUGCAUUCGAUACUGGGAAGCUAGAGUAUGGGAGAGGAUGGUAGAAUUCCAGGUGUAGCGGUGAAAUGCGUAGAGAUCUGGAGGAAUACCGAUGGCGAAGGCAGCCAUCUGGCCUAAUACUGACGCUGAGGUACGAAAGCAUGGGGAGCAAACAGGAUUAGAUACCCCGGUAGUCCCUGUCUCUUAUAA
RNAcentral lists this ribosomal RNA (301 nucleotides) under uncultured bacterium. Its description in RNAcentral is "partial 16S ribosomal RNA". It matches the Rfam family "Bacterial small subunit ribosomal RNA", at positions 509 to 809 of the family's 1533-position model. The record is from RNAcentral.